GUGCUCCUUGAUGCCCAGGGGUUGUGGUGCGCUGUGGCAUCGGCGGAGGGCGCGGCGGUCGACACCUGCAAGAGAAAGACGGCGAGGGCCAUGAUCCUGGGGGCUUUUUCGGAGGAGAUCUUGUUGCAGGUGUCGACGAAGCCAACCGCGAAGGAGGUAAGGGACUCCCUCAAGGUUCGCUUCGUUGGCGCCGAUCGGGUGGGGGCGGCGAGGCUCGCGACGCUGCACGGCAAGUUCGAUCGCCUUCUAAUGGACGAUGGUGGCGAGCUAGACGCGUACGCCGGGAAGGUGAGCAACAUGGCGGCCAGGUACGCGGGGCUUGGUGCAGUGCUUGACGAUGCCGCGAUGGUCAAGAAGCUGCUCGACACCAUGCCAGACCGGCUGUACGCGUCGGUGGCUGGCAUCGAGCAGUUCUGCAACGUCGAGCAGAUGCUCUUUGAGGAGGCACUUGGGCAUCUGAAGGCUUUCGAGGAGCGUACGCGGCGGCGGGCGCAGGCCCGCAGGGAGUGGGCGGGCGAACAGCUCAUGCUCACCGCGACUCAGUGGGCGGCGCGGCGUCGACAGCAAGGCGGGCGCGGCAUCGGCGACCAUGACGACGACGAAGCAGCAAGCACAACAUCAGACAUCGGAGAGAAGCGGCGAGGACGCUGCUACAACUACGGUGAGCGAGGGCAUUUCAAACGGGAGUGCCCGAAACCGUGGAAGGCGCAGGCGCUUCUCGCCGAGGCCAAUGUCGAGUACUACGGGUUCCUCUAG
Molecule: ribosomal RNA, 756 nt
Filed under: Triticum aestivum (bread wheat)
Lineage: Eukaryota; Viridiplantae; Streptophyta; Magnoliopsida; Poales; Poaceae
Description: partial small subunit ribosomal RNA
Source: RNAcentral